CCCUACCAUUGGUUCCAAACUAUACCCUUCAGUCACUUUUACUAAAUCCCUCAAUUCUUUGACUUUGGUUACUCUUUCUUAUCCUCCAUUCACUCCAUGGACCAUUAAUCACUACAUUCAUUCAAUAUCUACUACCUCCAUUCACUCUGUGUGAUAUAAUUUAUCUUUGAGUCAAAUACAAUAUCUCUUUGAACUUCAUCUUGUGUCUGCUUGUGAACCAAGAAAUGUUUGCUUU
Molecule: long non-coding RNA, 235 nt
Filed under: Lathyrus oleraceus (garden pea)
Lineage: Eukaryota; Viridiplantae; Streptophyta; Magnoliopsida; Fabales; Fabaceae
Description: Pisum sativum (pea) long non-coding RNA (PSAT_LNC011183)
Source: RNAcentral